ACAAAACUCAAUUCGCAAACUAUUAUUUUACAUCUAAUCAAAUCGAAGUCAUAGUUACGCUUUAAUGUGUACUUAUAUCUCAGAUCCCCGAGCAUGAGAACAAAACUCAAUUCUCGGAUUAUUAUUUCAGAUCCACAGCUCAGGAGGAAGCUUCUUGCUGGAAAUGGAUCAAACCACCUUCUCAAAACAUAAUAGCGGAAAGAAGUGGAGAACCAAAAGCAAGGUCAAGUAAUAAGGCAACAAUAUGAAAACAUGUCAAUUAUGGAAGAAUUGCAUAUAGAAUGAUUUGCUUCAACUCUUUUAUCCUUUUGGAGUCACUAGAAAGCUUGAGGUGUUGCGUGCCAAGAAUCGGGUUUUCUUCAUGCCUCCAAAUAAACUAUUUCUAAUUCAAAUGUCUCAAGCUUACACGAACUGGCGAGAGAAAUGGUAGACUGUGCCAAGUUCACAGUUCCACCA
Long non-coding RNA from Trifolium pratense (red clover), 456 nucleotides. RefSeq lists it as uncharacterized. The transcript is spliced from 4 exons. Lineage: Eukaryota; Viridiplantae; Streptophyta; Magnoliopsida; Fabales; Fabaceae. The record is from RefSeq and is a predicted model, not a curated record.